CCUACGGGGGGCUGCAGUGGGGAAUAUUGGACAAUGGGGGGAACCCUGAUCCAGCCAUGCCGCGUGUGUGAAGAAGGCCCUCGGGUUGUAAAGCACUUUCAGUGAGGAAGAACGCCUGGUGGUUAAUACCCAUCAGGAAAGACAUCACUCACAGAAGAAGCACCGGCUAACUCCGUGCCAGCAGCCGCGGUAAUACGGAGGGUGCGAGCGUUAAUCGGAAUUACUGGGCGUAAAGCGCGCGUAGGUGGCUCGAUAAGCCGGUUGUGAAAGCCCCGGGCUCAACCUGGGAACGGCAUCCGGAACUGUCAAGCUAGAGUGCAGGAGAGGAAGGUAGAAUUCCCGGUGUAGCGGUGAAAUGCGUAGAGAUCGGGAGGAAUACCAGUGGCGAAGGCGGCCUUCUGGACUGACACUGACACUGAGGUGCGAAAGCGUGGGUAGCAAACAGGAUUAGAUACCCGGGUAGUC
RNAcentral lists this ribosomal RNA (465 nucleotides) under Vreelandella stevensii. RNAcentral's name for it is "partial 16S ribosomal RNA". It matches the Rfam family "Bacterial small subunit ribosomal RNA", at positions 338 to 795 of the family's 1533-position model. Lineage: Bacteria; Pseudomonadati; Pseudomonadota; Gammaproteobacteria; Oceanospirillales; Halomonadaceae. The record is from RNAcentral.